Long non-coding RNA from Polyodon spathula (Mississippi paddlefish), 215 nucleotides. RefSeq lists it as uncharacterized. The record is from RefSeq and is a predicted model, not a curated record. The transcript is spliced from 3 exons. NCBI's taxonomy places the organism in Eukaryota, Metazoa, Chordata, Actinopteri, Acipenseriformes, Polyodontidae.
AGCCACAAAACUGCAUUUCUGUGAAAGCACAGGUGUAGCUCGCUUUCGACUGGUGGCACGAAAGAAUCUGACAGCCUUCCUUAUGAACAUUAAAAGAUCGUCAGCAAUCCUCCCACCAUUAAUCCAAGGAGAAAAUACCGAAAGAAAUCUGGCCACACCUCUGCUUCAGAGACACAUCACCACACACUCUCUCCUCAGCACUGAGUCAACAUUUU